AGGAAUAAUAAGGAAAAAAAUACAGCAAAUUUUGGUUCCCACACCCUCAGCUCUUCAAACUGUGGGGAGGAAGGGCUGUGUCCUUGCUGGAAGUGCUUUGGGAUACCCUGAGCAGAGAGCCCAUGGUGCACCCUGGCCAUCAGACCCCUCAGACCUGAGGUUCAGCCUUAUUUCCCUGCAGAAAUGAUGGUUUGGCCAGAAGUAGCCAUGAGCUGGAUCUGGAGCUGCUCUCAAGCCUGGCCCAGCCUGAUGUCAGGGCACAACCUCUGAGAGGACAUGAAGAGCAGUGAGAGCUGGGGAAGAGGCAGCCACUCAAGCACUGGCCAGAGUCUCUACCCAGACCUGCCAGGUUGGAUGGAUCCCUCCUCUGCCAUCCACCCUGCAGGCUGUGGCGUUUCACCAGCACAUCUCUGGGUGCAGCACUCAGGCCCCAGCAAUCCUCUGCUCUGUGUAGGUGUCUCCUUUCUGCAGAGCUUAUGCUGAGCUGUGGUUUUGAAUCCCUGUUGCAGCAGCAGUCCCUGCCUGGAGGAAACCCUUCUCCCCCUCUCUCUGCUGCAUCUGGAGACAUUGUGAGAACCUUGGAGCAUGCAGGCCUUUGGACAUCUCAGCAAUGGAGAAUUUUGUCUCCAAAAUUCCUGGUCUAUUUUUGAAAUAUGGCCAUGAUGUGAGUGUGAUUUGAGGGACGGAGAACUUAUCCAGAACUCAGCACUUCUGGAGGUCUCAGAUGAGAACACAUCCCUCAAUGAAUCUGCUACAGACAACAGCUACUGGGCAAUCUGUGAGCUCAUCCAGAGCAAGACUUGGCUCAGCCUUCCCUACAUUUGCCUUGAAUGCAACAUCCCAGCUUGAUCAUAGUUGAAGCUUCCCCUCAUCAAAGCAGAAAAUAAGCAGAAGAACCAACCACCUGCCACUCACUUGGUCACCUCAACAAAGCCAGGCUGGGGCUGAGAAACAACAGCAACGAAACUGAGCCUUUGUGGUGAGUUCUGUCUGAACUGGGAGAGCAAACAACACCUGGAGGAGCUGGGCAUGGGCUGCAAGGGAGAGGGAUGGUGGGCAGGGGCUGUUUGUGCUCCAGGGUGGGGCUCUGGCACGGCAGGAGCAGGAGGAAGAGGAGGAUGGCUCCAUCAGCCCUGGGGAGUGGGUGCCUGCCCUGCCCUGGAUGGCAGCAGCUCCUCUGUGCCUGCAGGAGCAGAGCCUGGAGUGGAACUGCCCCAGCCCCUCUGCUCCUGCCUGGGCUGGGCUCAAACAGCACUGGGAAAUCACUGGUCUGGCUUAAUUUUUAAGAUUUAAUUUUUAAGAUUUAAUUUUUAAGAUUCAUUUUUAAGAUUAACCACCACUCACACCUCUGCCCAAGCCGGAUUCCCUAAUUAAACCAGGGAAUUUUGCCUUCACUAGAAAGCAGGAAGAUGGCACGGUACCCGCUCUGGCUGGGCCCAAAUUCCCAAUGUCCAAGUGAUCUGCAUUUGGGUGCUGGAUUUUUUUUAACUUUAUCUUUUUUUGUUGUUGUUUUUAGCCUUCUAAUAACAAACUUCAGAUUCGUCAGCUGGAAGUGACCUCAUCGCAUUACAGAUUUGCUUUCCUGGGAAACUGAACCCUUCUGGUGGAAUGAUGGGAAAGUCUCACCUUCCCUUCUUUAAUAUUCCUUUAACCAAGGUUCUAUUGAAAUUAGCUUGGCAGGGCAGCAGCUCAGAAAGAAAGACACAAAAGAAAAUCCUUUGUUACUAUUAGGUUUUUUAUUCUAUUUAUUUUUUUACUCAUCUCGUGAUUUUGGGGAGAUGGCAAAUGAUUUUUGAAUCUUUAUUGACACAUAUCCAAAUCUCUAGAGAAGGAUACAUUUUACUAACACAGGAGUCUGUUUGUUUCACUGCCAGCAAAAAAACAGAGGCAAACCCCAAUAAUUAAUUGUUGCCUUUGGUAGUUUUCUUUGAGCUGCAACACUGUCUGCUCACUCCUACUCCUUUUUCUGCCUCUUACAAAUUCUUUGCACAAGUGGGAGCCCAGCUCAGCGCACCCAGUGCAGGAUCCCUGUCCUCAGUGAGGAUGGGCUUGGCUCCUCUUCAAAGGGAUCUUUUAUCGAGUGCUCAGUGUGAUGUGACAAAGCAGGGAAGUGUGCCAUGGAUGUGGUGCUUCCUAAUCCCCUCCUUCUACCUUGAUUAAACUCGAGGGCAAUUACCCUUGCCAGGGUGGUGAGGGCUGCCAAUGUGCAUCUUGUUUACAGCUGUGCUCAUUUUUAACUUUGUUUUCCCAUUUUGCACUAGGGCAAAACUCAUCUGCUGUAUGCCAUGGAUAAAAUCCAUUUUAAGCACCAAGUUUCUCCUGUUUUGCCACAGGAGCUGGGGGAUUCAGGACGUUGUGUUUCAGGCUGGCACAGUUGCUGUCAUGUGCAAAGUGAUGCCCAGGCUCCCAGAGACCUGCAAGGUCUCACUGUCAGUGCAGGGAAGUUUUGGAUGGGGCCAGUAGAAACUAAAAAGAUUUAUUAUGGGACUAUUUUAUAGUGCUAGGAACAAGAAUUUACUGUGGUGUGAGUGGGCUUUAGACGCUGCUGUAAAUUCCAGAUGAAAAUUUCACAGCAUUUGCCAUUCAAUUUUGCUCUAUUUUAUUUUCUGUGUUUUGCUUUCAUUUCUAGAAUCUGCCAUAUUCUGAAUUCUGAUAAAUUUAGAAAGUCUUAUUUUCAAAAACAAACAACCACACCAUAUUUUGGCAAAAAAUACUAGGGUUAACAUUUUUAUUUUACCAAUUUCCCAAUUGCCUACAGCAGUCACUUCAAAAAAAGACUGCAUCUAACUAAUUUUACUUGAAAAUAUCCUGUUUCUUUUUUUCUCUCUGUUUUUUUAUCCCUUCACAAGAAGCAGGCCAGAUUUCAGAGAAACUUUACCAGGAAAAAUGCACAUCAGCACCCUGAGAUAUUUCCAUGUUUGGCUUUGAAUCUGUCAGUUUUACGUGGAGAAAAAAAUACAUUGUGAAUUUUCUAGUUCAGAGAUUUGUAGUUUGGUGGUUUGGGCAGAAUGCACUGAGGGUGGGAGCUUUUCUCCAUGGUCAUUCCUGCCUCCAUCCUGUGUUUCACGCUUACUCUGUGCCCUGGCAGCCUGCUGGCCUCCUCCUUUUUUCUCUGGAUAAUCUUCCUUCUUUUUUUUUUGGCUAAAACAACGUGACAGUCUGUUUCAGCUGAUUAUGACACGACGCUGAACUUUUCUUUGCCAGGGCUCUCUGGUUGCCCCUGCAGCCACCAAACGCUGGUGGGACACCAUGCCCAGCCCCUGUUGCUCCUGUCUCUGUGCUGUGAUGCCAGGGCCAGCCUGGCAUUCCUCUUGGCACCAUCCUGGCAGGGGUGGCCGGGCAGGCAGAGCCAGGGCCAGGCUCCCACAGGCUGUUCCCAUUCCUGCAGCAGCCUGCCCACCUGUUCUCUGCUGUGCUGGAAUACCAGCCAGAGCCCUGGCUCUGCUGCUGCAGGCUGUGAGGGGUGGUUUUUAAUCCCUCUAUUCAGUGUUUCCAGGAACAGGAGGAGAGGCAUACGGCAUAUGCUCACCUCGGCUCCCAGGAGGGCUGGGGGGUGUCCCAGCAGCUGCUGGGGUGAUCCUUGUCUGUCUGUCCUUCCACAGCCAUGCCUGAAGGUGUGCUCAGGAUGUCGGGCAUCACGCCAUGAGCAGGUGAGCUCCACGAGCAGGUGCUGUCCCUUCCUCCCCUCCCAGCCUGCAGCAUGGACAGGGGUGUCGCAGGCAGAGGGGCUGGAGGAGGGACUCCAUCCUCUCCUGCUUUUCCUUCAGCUGGAUCAGCUCCACAGCAGGGCUGGGAGCACCUCAAGGGCACAGGCCCUCCCUUCAUGGUCACAGUGGUCCUUGAGUGUUUGGAAGUUUGUUGGAUUGAGGACUUAGAUUUGACCAAAGCAGGUGAGAUCUGGAUGCAGCUUUGGGCUCAAAACACAUGAGAUAUCUGCAGCAGCAGAGCAGGGGGAGUUUGGAAGUCUGGAAGUUUGGAAGUCUGUUGGAUUAAGGACUCUGGUUUGGCCAAAGCAGGUGAGAUCUGGUUCCAGCUUUGGGCUCAGAGCACACAAGAUAUCUGCAGCAGUAGAGCAGGGGGAGCAGGCUGAGUGCUGGGCUCCUGCAUCCUGCACUGCCCACAUCUGCCCUUGUCACCAAAUCUCCAGCACACCCAUCCCUGAUGUCCUGCAUUGCUCGUUGCCUGACCCUCAGCUGACCCUGCUGCAGCCAACAGGAACACUGGCAUCACUGGCAUCACUGGCACCUCAUCUUCCCCCUCCUCCCGUUCCCUCCUGUGUGCCCUGCUGCCCACCCUGCUCUGGCUGCCCACCCUGCCCUGGGCACCAUCUGCUGAGCUUGGGGCUGUCUCCUCUCACCAACUGUCGUCUGUCCUGCCUGGGGGGGCAAUGUGCUCACGUUCUGCAUCAAAGGACCCUCAGCCCCUCUCUUUGUGGGCCAGCCGGGCUGUCGGAGGGGAGCCAAGCACUUGGCACUCAGCAAGCAAGGAGCAUUAAUGAAAGCAUUGCAGUGAGGUUAGAGCCUCAUUAAAGCACUGCUAACGAACCGUCUGCCUUCCAGAAACAUGAGAUUUUCGCUAACACUUCCUCCUUCUAACUUUAUGUAUAUUUAAAUCUUUCUGGGCAGGCAAUACCCAUUUCUCCAGGCUGCUACAGCAUAAACAAAGCCCAUUUCAGAGGAGCUGCUCUGGAAGUGCCUUUGGGUGCUGUCUCCAGUCCUGCAGCCUGUCUGUGUGGCCAUGGCAGUGUCCUGGAGCUCAGGGGACAUAAACCCCAUCACGGUCUGUGUGGCCAUGGCAGUGUCCUGGGGGACAUAAACCCCAUCACGGUCUGUGUGGCCAUGGCAGUGUCCUGGGUGACACAAACCCCAUCACUCCCGGGUGCACAGCAGCACUGUGGGAUGAAGGCAAGCUCUGAACACACCACUGCCCCUCUCCCAGCCCUGCCACUGCUGCUGGCAGCCUUUGCCAGGUGUGUUUUGGGGGACAGAGAUGUACCCCGAGGUCUGUGAGCAUCGCCUGAGCUCUGCUGGGCUGGGGUGGCACUGCUGGCUCAGCCAGGUGUCCCCAGGGGUUUGUACAGGGGGCUUUUCUCUGGGUGUCCCCAGGGUUUGUACAGGGGGGGUUCACUCUGGGGCCCCCCAGGCUCCCCAGCACCCUCGGGGCUGGCUGCAGGUGGUGCUCAGACCCCCGGCUGCCCUCGCAGCCCAUUGUAAAGCAAAUGAAUUCUCCCAGGGCUCAGGAAUAGCUUGGCAGGGAGCAGAGCAGCUGCUCCGGGACUCAGUGCCCCUGUUUGAUUGCAUUUGUCUGAUUUCAGCAGCCUGUGAGGGGCAGGGGAGCCAUGGGGACAUCUCACUGCCGUGGGUGAGCUCACAGCUUCUCCUCCUGGACAUCCUCCUCUCACCUCAGGAUUUUAUUCUCCUGCUCCCUUUGAAGCACACCCAGAGGUGUCACUGUCAAAGGACAGUGUUUGAUGGAUGAAUCCAUCUCUUUUACCUUACAGGGUAAACACGGUGUUUUUGACAAUAAAUGCCAUUUUCUUGAAUGGGAACAAGCAGUCCAAAUGGCUUCUGCUGGGUUCCCAAAUUGUCUGGAGGGUCUGCCCUGGGGAGAGGGCUGUCAGGAGAGCAAACCUGGUGUUAAACUGAUGGUGUGUGUUGCAGAGACUCAGAGCUGGAUGCAGCUGCAGGUUGGUGCUGAGUGAGGAUGUUCCCUCACUGCUCCCGAAUGUUGUGGGGCUGCCCUGGCACCCUUGGGUGUCCUGCCUGGUGCUGGGGGAUGGCCACAGCCUGGGGAAGUUAGUGACUCACUGUGAAAUUUCCUCUCCCUUUCGGGCAUUGCAACACAGAUUUUCCUCUUGCACAGGCCCCAGCUCUGCAGACAGGCACUGCCCUCGCUGCAGGGAAAUUGGUAGGAUGUCUUGGGGCAAAGGUAAAACUAAAGUACAUCAGUAAAUGCUAGCAGGAUCAGGCCCUUAUUCAGGCAUAAAUCAGGUAGCCCCAGCCAACAAUAGAAUUACCUAAGUAUAAAAUCCCAUGUAAGCCAGUAAGAUCAGCUCCAAACCUGCUAUGAAUUUGCUUUUUGUUUCCAUGCCAAGAAUAUAUCACUGCUAACUGCUGCAAUCAGGGCUGGUCCUUUCAGGAUUUUUUAAGUGCUUUUGAGCACGUUUAUUUCCCAUCCCCAACAGAUCCACACAGAACCUGGCCUUCCUUCCCUGGGGCAUGCCCCAGCCUGCUUCACCCACAAUAAAUUGUCCCUAUCAGGGAAUAUUUUUUUUUUCUUUCCUGGCUGUUUUUGUUACUGCAUUCGGUAAACAAAGGGACAGCAGCAGUGACGAUCCAAACCCAUUCUUUUUUAUUUGCCUGGGAACAGAGUCAACUAUUUGUUGGUCUUUUGUUGCUGCUUUUGUUCUCUUUUCAGCCAGAGCCCGUUGGAGCAGCUCGUGGUACCUGUGGGCAGCACGUACUGGAGCUGCAGGAUUUGUCACCUGCUGCCACCAGCCCAGGGAGGGGCAGCGAGGAGGACAAGGUGGGUCAUUGUCUGAGGAGGCUGUUGCAGGACGGCUGGGACUUCCCUUCUCCCCAGAAUGAGAUUCUGGUGUAAUUAAUGGGGCGUUUGGACUCUGAUAGCAUUUGCUUCCAUCCAGUUUCUCAUGGAAACCCUCCUGAUGCCUCUCAGAUCUUCAUGAAGGUAUGUAAGCUUUACUCCUCCACUUUCUGCCUCCCAGAAGGAGAAUGGGAACUGGAAAAUUCCCCAGGUUCUUGGCAGAGACGCUGAGGUGGUGUGGUUCUGCACAAAGCAGCUCUGGCCAUGGACCCUGGCAGCAGUUUUAUCUUUUGCUGGGCUGGGAAUCGUGACCUCAGCCAUUGCAGCAGGUUCUCUGGAGCAGUCUGCAAGGAAAUUGGUUUAAAUAGCAAUAGCAUAAUUUAUCCAUCUGAACUAGCAAAGUGUUAAUGUGUCUCAGGGGUGAAACAAAAAUUCUGUGAAACUUUCAGGGCUUUUCUUGGUUUUUCUGCACCCAAACAGGCUCUCAGAGCCGUGCCUUAUGCUUGUCCAUCACUGCCUGGAGAAUGCCCAGCACAGAGAGGACAUUUCUGCUGAUAACAGGAAAGUCAGUGUUUGGUCCUGCUGUCAACAGGUUUUAGCUUGGAGACAAACCUCCACUAAUCAGCUGCUUUGUGGCAUUUUUACAGCAAGAUAAAAGACGCCUGGAAUUAUUUGUUGGUCACCAAGCAAAUGUUUUUACUGGUGAAAUGUUCCAGAGGCUGUUUAGAGUCUGAUUGACAAAUGUGCCAAAACUCUGCAACCCUCCCUAUGCCCUCCCCUCCUCAGAUCCAGGGCUGAGAUGGGAGAUGGAGAUGAUGAUGAUGGAGCUGUAGAUGAAGAAGGAGAUGGAGCCACCUCAAGCAAUUGCUGCAGGGGUAAGCCGGGGUUGAAGUGAGGGGAGAAGCUCAUUUGUUAUGCAAAUAUCUGCCUGAGCCUGGCGUAGACAGUGGAAAGCUCAAAUUAUUUUAAGCAGAGAAGCAAAGUUCUCUCCAUCCCCCUAUCCUCUUGGAUCCUUGGAAAAAUAAAACAAACCAGAAACCUCUGUGUGAACCAUCUGACAAUGAUCAGCACUUGGCCUUUCUGGCAAGAGCUGGGUGAGCACAGGCGCAUGGAAAUAGAACAAUUAGGGGGAAAAACAGUAUUGGAAGCAGCCAGGCUUUGUGUUGUCGUGAUGACAGCACCUAGUGAUCAUCCUGCAGCCUUAUCUCUGGGGCCUGCCAGGCACAGCAGAGCUGCAGGGCUGGGGGUUCUCCCUGGGUGACAUGCAGAGGAGCUGUGGCAGCUUCCCUGCUGCCUGCUCAGCUCUCGGGGCAAGGAGAGGAGCAAGGAUGGCUGUUUUGGGUGCAGGAAACCCUUUUAGGCCCAAAAUCGAGGUGGGAGGCUGGCCCAUGCAGGGGAGGCACCCGUGCAUGGCAGGGACCUUCCUGCACCGGCGACCAGCCACCCCCCCACAGCUUUGCAUGAGCAGAUGUGCAUUUCAUGCUGCUAAGAAAACCCUGUCAGGAUUUACAUAGCGUCCAGGGGCACCAAGGGGACAAAGCUGAGCCUUUCCCACACGGGCAGUGAUGCCAGGCUGCCAUUUCCAUGGGGAGAGCCAGGCCUGUGCCACGUGCUCCUGCAGCACGGGCUGUGUGAGGCAGUGGUGCUGCCUGUGCUCUGCCCACAGGCAGCUGUGGUAAAACCCCAUUUUCCAGGCAGGCUGCAUCUCUCCAGAGUGGUUUUCCCCUGAGCUGAGCUCUCCCCUGUUCUCAGCAUCCUUAUGCCCCUGAGAAGGCCUAGGGGGAUGCUGCACUCUGGUGUAGAGGGCUGGGUAGAGCUGGGGAUGAAUCAGCUUUUCAAAAGGGGCUUCAGACCAGCCCUAGAUCUGCACCAGAAAGAUUCCCACUGGUUCUGCAGCCCUAUGGUCAAAUGGAGGGGCAGCCUUUCUGCCUUACUGGGUGCUGGCACAGUCUGGGCCCUGCUGGGGGAACCCCCCUUUUUCCACGCAGUAUUUGUCACACUUCCAAUAAUUCCUGCUGGGAUUUCCUCACAGCCCUGCCCCAAACACAUCAGGCUUUGAGCUGUGCUGCAUGGCUGCUCCCCAGAGCACAGGGUCCCUGGGGCUUUGCUGGUGUCUCUGAGGGAGGGCAGCAAGGCCAUGGGGCUGGGGAAAACCCUUAACAGGACUAAACAACCCCCCAAAAACUCCAUCCAGCCGGCAGAGUCGAGUCCAAGCCAUUGUGGGCUCUGCUGGCUCCUCAGCACCCCAGGAUGCUGUGGGCACAGGUGACAUCCCUGUGGGCCCAGGACACACCUGGUGGGCCACAACAGUCUGUGCUGUGACUGGCUGAGACAGGGUGGCACUGAGCUGGGUGGCACUGAGCUGGGUGACGCUGAGCUGGGUGACGCUGAGCUGGGUGACGCUGAGCUCGGUGACGCCGAGCUGGGGAGGCCCAUGAGCCCCUCCCAGGCACAGGGCAGACAAAAUGGAAUGAUUUUCCUUGGCAGGGCCAGGAGACGCUGGCAUGACCUCCCCAGUAACCCCAACAUGUCUCUGCAGGGCCACCUGCCCCCAGCCAGGUGUGAGCCAGGUGCAGUGGAAGGAGCUGUGGCUUGUGGUACAGUAGCACCUGGACUAUUUCCCCUUUGUGUAAAAUGCUUUGUUUCCUUAGAGCACUGCAAAGUCUCCACUGUCAUUCUAAAACACUUAAAAGCAGUUGCUCUCAUGGGCAUUUUUUAAAUUGUUUGAAAAAUUUGUGUGGGCAUUACAGUGUUUGCUUUCUCUGAUAACUAUUUUUAAUCUUGUUUUUUUUCAUUAAAAAAAAAUAAACUGAGAUAGAUAUGAAUUGAAACUGCGCCUUUAAAUAUGACGUGAUGUUGGCUGCCCAAAACUAAACACGGAAUAAGGGAGAGCUGGAGCAUGUGCCUAAGAGCUGAGAAAGGCUAAAGCUUUGUAUGCCACUCGCUUGGCAGCGCUGUGAGGGCAGAGCCCAGGAACCACAGCCAGGGCACGGUGCUGGCCAGCUGGCACCAGAAGGGUUAAAGAAGCAGGUUCACCCUGCAAGGAGAGAGCUGGAAAUGGCCUCUCCAGGAGGAGAUGCUGGCACCCCACUCUUGCCCUUGGCACCCAGCCUGAGAGCCACCAGGGCCCCCUGAAGGACACAGGGCAGCACCAGGAGUGACAAAGGCAGAGAGGGGACGCUUCCCUUCCACGCCCCGCUGGUUCCCAGCUCUGCAGAGGAGCUGUGCAGGGAGCUGCAGCCUCCCCCAGCUCCCAUCCUGGGCUCUCUGCUUUUGUUCCUGUGCUGGGGAUUUGGCCAAGUGGGGUUUGGCCAGAGCCAAAGGCUGCGAGAGGGCACGGUGCUCCUGCAGCAGCCAAGGAUGGGACGGGGGCCCUGCAGCGGGGCCUGUGCGAGAGGGGCACCCCAAAAGGGCAGAGCCUGCCCUGCAGAGCUGGCAGUGCCAUGGCACACUCACUGCAAUGUCACACUCACUGCCAUGUCACACCCAGUGCCAGUGUGGACUCAGUGCCAUGGCACAAUGCCAUGUCACACUCAGUGCCAUGUCACACCCAGUGCCAUGCCACACUCAGUGCCAUGGCACAAUGCCAUGUCACACUCAGUGCAAUGCCACAUUCACUGCCAUGUCACACUCAGUGCCAUGUCACACUCAGUGCCAUGUCACGCUCACUGCCAUGUCACACCCAGUGCCAUGUCACACUCAGUGCCAUGUCACGCUCACUGCAUGUCACACUCUGUGCCACGCUGCCUGUAGACCAUCGUGCUCCAGGACAGGAGCAGCUCUGUUCUGCCUGUGCUGUUUGCAUUUCAGACCCAGCCUUGCUGCAGGGAUGGUCCCGGCUGAAGCCAGGCAGGGAGGACAGCAGCACGUGGGAAAUGCAGUGGCACAGGCCCUGAUGGAUGUCAUGAGCUCAAGGUCUGUUUAAGGUGCUCACAUGUCAGCAGCUCGUGGAUGCUACAGGAGACCAGGAAUGGCCGUGAGUACCUGCACACACUGACCCCCCAUUUACCCAUGAACAGGAGCCACUCCAAUGAGUUGAGUCUGAUUUUAAAAGAUCUUUUGAGUGUUAAACGUGUAAUAAGAUGCUCAGUGCUAUUUUCAAACCAAGACAUGUUCCUGGCUGAUUUAUAAAAGGCCACUGUCUCCACUUUUAUGUGGGCAAAUGCUUUUAAAAAUUGGCUCCUGGGAUUUGGGGUGCUCAUUGAUUCAUCCUCUCACAAGCCUCCAUCUCUGACCUUUCCAUUACCAACUUUUCCAUCUCCAACUGAACUGCUUCAUCAUGCUCCUGAGCAUGGGCACACAGCUAAUAAAUCUGUCUUUAAUUGCCCUCCCACACUGGGUGGCUUUAUCUGAGCCAUCAUUCCGGUCGCUGUGCCUUGUUGCAUCCCUCUGCUUCCAGAUUUGUGCUGCUGGAGUCAGCAAGAGGAUAAAACUGUUAUUUGGGUUUUGGUUUAGGUACAAACCCCUCAGUAACACACCCCAUGGCUGUGUGGCCCCACAUGAUGUGUCUGACAUGGCUGAGUUGGCUCUGCCUGGGGUAGGUACAAACCCUCUGAUUUUAUCUCAUGCAACGUCCCAUUUUUGAUUUUUUAUGCACCUGAAAUAUUGCAAAAAACUUAUGUAGGGAAAAAAACCCACCAUAAAUUCCCUUGCUAAAGACAUCAGUAAGGACAGAGAGUCCUGCUGGCCCAGUGGUGCCAGCACCACUAGGAUGGAAAAACCUCAAGAACACCCAUUGCCUUUGGUACCCAAGGGAGAUUUAUUUAUUUAUUCCCCCCAGUUUAUCACCCUGUCAGGAAGUUUCCCAAGCCCUGCAGGAGUGGGUGCAGCAGUAUCAGCAGGCACAGGUCUAUCAGGCGGAGCAGAAGCUUUUCCAGGAACUAUCUAGUGCCACACGUGACCGUGCCCGGGCGAUACGUGACAGGCAUUCACCGGCCGGGAAUCUCUAUGCUGGCAGGAUUCAGAGAGGCACAAAGGAGGGAAAAACAAGUUUCAGCCAGAAGAGAGAGAGAGAGAAAAAAAAAAGGAUGCUGUUAGCAUUCCCUGUAUUUGAGGGGGUAAAAACAUUUUGCUGUCAACUCUGUUUUAAAGGGUAAGUGCUAAAAGCAGCCCAGUUACUAUGCAAAUAAAUGGUGUGCUCAGCCUUUCCCUCUCAGUGCAAACUUGUUAGCCAGGGGAGCUGGGCUGUGGGGAUCGGCAGUGUCCCCAUGUCCCCAGUGCUCCCAUCCCAUCCUGGGGACACCCACUGGCUGGGGGUGCCACAGCAAAGCUCUGGACUUUGACAGGAGCCCGUGGGGGUGCCCAAACAAGGUGGGACAGCGUGGGGAGCACUGCAGAGGUGUGGGCUGGGUACCCCCUGCUCCUUGUCAAAAGCAGAUUCAGGCAGCUGGCAGCAGAGCCCUUGGCUGUGCCUCUGUGCCAGGGGACACCCAGGGAGAGGGAGUGCCCGGAAAGGGCAGAAAUCUCACCCAAGACAUGCCCUUUCAUGGCAGGCAGGUGGGGAAGGUCUGGCAGCAGCCACCCUGGGGUACAGGGCUGUCUCUCACUCCUGCUGCCAGGUGGAACGGGAGGUGAUGCCAGGACAUGAUGCCAGACUGUGGCUGGGUUCAUCCACAUGAUGACCAGCACCCAGCACUGGUAUUUAUGGUGGCACUUCCCCAUGACAGCAGAAGGGCUGCACAUUCCCCAGCCCACACAAGCCAAAGCUCCCCCUGACAGCCCCAGUGUGAUGGUUUCCUAUAAAAAAGAUUUGAAUUUGUCAUGCAAAUGACUGGGCAUGUGGGCACAGCUGCUGAGAGGUGGCCUGGGCUGCCAGCAUGGCCACAGGGAUGUGCCCAGGACAAGGUCUGGCCCCCCAAAGCUGGUCCCACCCCAGGAACUGCCAAGCAGAUGGUGCUGCCAAAACCACCCAGCCCUUGCUGCUCCUCCUGGUCCCUUUGGCUCACUGAAGCUUUUAAAACCAGCAUUGUGACCCCCCUGCUCGUCCCCUCCCUUGGCUUCUGGCUGGCUGCAGCAGAGCUGAGCUGCCCAGAAUGAGCUUUCCUUGUGCUGGGACCACAUAAGGAGGUGGAAGAUGAUGGUCCAUCAAGCAAUGCACUAAAAAAAAAAAAAAAUUAAAUUAUACUGUUAAGCAAUUUCAAAAUUAUUUAAGCACUUGUGCCACCCUGAUCAGUCGGGAGCCAGGCAGCCUCUGCCUCUCACCCACACCCCAGUGCUGAUACUCUGCAGUUUAGCUCUUGUCCUUCUAACACAGCAACCUUUGAGCUCUUCCCACUUUCCCAGCCCAGCACAGGACAGGGAAGUGCUUGGGCUCCUUCUGGAGGCUGCCAGCCCCACCUGGCAGCACCGCCCCGCUCCCACCGGGAAGGAGCAUGGCAGAGCCCACAAUUCUGCAACUUCACAGCCGGGUUUUUGCAAGCAGGAAGGAGGCAGGUCGGGCUGCUCCUGCUGCUGUUUUGAUGUGGCUGUUUCUCGAAAUGAGCCCGGAGCAAAACUGAGCAGGAUCCAGGAAUGGCACUCGGCACUGCGGGCGCUGGGAGCGCCACCUGCACCCUCGCUUCCUGGCAGUUUGGCCACCUUUCAGGAAAUCAGAUAGCUACAUGGAAAAUCAUCACACUUUUUACUUCAGAGAGCACUGCACCCAUGGGUUUUUCAACAACAGAUCCAUGUUCAGCAGCCUUGCUGUCCCCACGGAGCAGGGGAGAUGUGUGUCCCCAGCAAAGGCAAAAGCCCAGCUCAGCAGUGCCAGGCACCGCUGCCUGGGGAUUGGCACCUCAACGCUGCUCCCCAGCACCCCCAUCCAAAAACCCUGCCCUCCCUUCUCCUCAGGAGCACUCCUGACAGGGAGAAAGAAGAAUUGCUGAAUAAUCUCCAGCCCCGAUAGCACUUCAAAGGCAGGGCCCGGGCCAGGCUGGAUGCAGCGCUCGGCUCUUACUCCUUUGGCAGCCCCACAGCGGUUCCAGAAAGUAAUUACUUAAAAAGGAAAUAAAUGUCACCCACAUGGUUGUAAGCAAAAGCCCGGGCAGGAUGAGCAGAGCCCCACCAGGAUCUGCAUUCUCACGCAACACAAGCAAGGCAGGAGAGAGCUGUUUCCAUUCAUCGAGAUGGGCUCUUUACUCUGAGGGCUACUGGUGACAUUUGACAUGCCCACCGUGGGCAUUUCAGCUCCCCAGGGCAGGCACAGUGCUGAACUGCCUCUGCUUUCAUCCUACAGCAUUCUCUUCCCCCAGGAUGGCUUUAGGCAUCACCACCUGAACCAGCAGCAGAUGUUGGUGCCAAAAAUGCAGCCCUUCCUAGCACCAGACCUGCUGUAAUCUUUAUGGAGAUGAACCAGAUAACCGGCAUGAUCAAACAGAGUCAUUUUAUUUACUUUUAAAGAUUAAUUCUUGAAGUUUGUAAUUGUUAAAACCUGAACACCAAACUUCUAAAGCACGUUGGCUGGGGGAAGUCAAGUAGCACCGGAGCAGCAAAUGAGGCUCAAGGGUGAAAGGCUCUCUGCUGCUGGCACCUGCCUGUUCUGCUGGAUCUGAGACACCCUAAGCAAACCCCCUUAACCAGGACAGGGCUCUGGCAGACUACUCUCUUUCAGAGAAAUUCCAUUUUAGAAAAACAACCCCCAACUUAUUUUAAGCAAAUAACAGAAGGAAAGUGAUGGCCCGAAAACCCCGGGACGAGAUCCCAUCUGCCCCUGCUGCCUCUGGAGCUGCACCAGCAUGGCAGCACCUCCCACCCUCUGCAGCACGCAGUGUGAGGAAGCAGCUGGCAGCAGCCCACGGGGUUCUGUGAGCUCAGAACCCCCGAGGUGCCUCAGGACACGCAGAGCAGGGCAGUGUGGGACACGCUGCAG
Molecule: long non-coding RNA, 14389 nt
Organism: Melospiza melodia melodia
Lineage: Eukaryota; Metazoa; Chordata; Aves; Passeriformes; Passerellidae
Exons: 8
Source: RefSeq, a predicted model, not a curated record